Molecule: ribosomal RNA, 544 nt
Filed under: Meyerozyma guilliermondii
Lineage: Eukaryota; Fungi; Ascomycota; Pichiomycetes; Serinales; Debaryomycetaceae
Description: eukaryotic LSU rRNA
Rfam family: Eukaryotic large subunit ribosomal RNA
Source: RNAcentral
AUGCCUUAGUAGCGGCGAGUGAGCGGCAAAGCUCAAUUUGAAUCUGGCGCCUUCGGUGUCCGAGUUGUAAUUUGAAGAUUGUAACCUUGGGGUUGGCUCUUGUCUAUGUUUCUUGGAACAGGACGUCACAGAGGGUGAGAAUCCCGUGCGAUGAGAUGCCCAAUUCUAUGUAAGGUGCUUUCGAAGAGUCGAGUUGUUUGGGAAUGCAGCUCUAAGUGGGUGGUAAAUUCCAUCUAAAGCUAAAUAUUGGCGAGAGACCGAUAGCGAACAAGUACAGUGAUGGAAAGAUGAAAAGAACUUUGAAAAGAGAGUGAAAAAGUACGUGAAAUUGUUGAAAGGGAAGGGUUUGAGAUCAGACUCGAUAUUUUGUGAGCCUUGCCUUCGUGGCGGGGUGACCCGCAGCUUAUCGGGCCAGCAUCGGUUUGGGCGGUAGGAUAAUGGCGUAGGAAUGUGACUUUACUUCGGUGAAGUGUUAUAGCCUGCGUUGAUGCUGCCUGCCUAGACCGAGGACUGCGAUUUUAUCAAGGAUGCUGGCAUAAUGAUC